RNAcentral lists this ribosomal RNA (475 nucleotides) under uncultured bacterium. RNAcentral describes it as "bacterial SSU rRNA". It matches the Rfam family "Bacterial small subunit ribosomal RNA", at positions 335 to 800 of the family's 1533-position model. The record is from RNAcentral.
ACUCCUACGGGAGGCAGCAGUGGGGAAUAUUGCACAAUGGGCGCAAGCCUGAUGCAGCCAUGCCGCGUGUAUGAAGAAGGCCUUCGGGUUGUAAAGUACUUUCAGCAGUGAGGAAGGCGGGUACGUUAAUAGCGUGCUCGUUUGACGUUAGCUGCAGAAGAAGCACCGGCUAACUCCGUGCCAGCAGCCGCGGUAAUACGGAGGGUGCGAGCGUUAAUCGGAAUUACUGGGCGUAAAGGGCUCGUAGGUGGUUUGUCGCGUCGUCUGUGAAAUUCCGGGGCUUAACUCCGGGCGUGCAGGCGAUACGGGCAUAACUUGAGUACUGUAGGGGUAACUGGAAUUCCUGGUGUAGCGGUGAAAUGCGCAGAUAUCAGGAGGAACACCGAUGGCGAAGGCAGGUUACUGGGCAGUUACUGACGCUGAGGAGCGAAAGCAUGGGUAGCGAACAGGAUUAGAUACCCUGGUAGCUACGAGU